RNAcentral lists this ribosomal RNA (460 nucleotides) under uncultured bacterium. RNAcentral describes it as "partial 16S ribosomal RNA". It matches the Rfam family "Bacterial small subunit ribosomal RNA", at positions 338 to 795 of the family's 1533-position model. The record is from RNAcentral.
CCUACGGGAGGCAGCAGUGAGGAAUAUUGGUCAAUGGCCGGAAGGCUGAACCAGCCAUGCCGCGUGAAGGUCAGUGCCCUAUGGGCGUUAAACUUCUUUUGUGCGGGAGCAAUAAUGGUCACGUGUGGCCAGACGAGAGUACCGUACGAAUAAGCAUCGGCUAACUCCGUGCCAGCAGCCGCGGUAAUACGGGGGAUGCAAGCGUUAUCCGGAUUUAUUGGGUGUAAAGGGUGCGUAGGCUGUGAGGUAAGUCAGCAGUGAAAUGCCCCCGCUCAACGGGGUGAAGUGCCAUUGAUACUGCCUGGCUGGAAUGCGGAUGCCGUGGGAGGAAUGUGUGGUGUAGCGGUGAAAUGCAUAGAUAUCACACAGAACACCGAUUGCGAAGGCAUCUCACGAAUCCGCGAUUGACGCUGAUGCACGAAAGCGUGGGUAUCAAACAGGAUUAGAUACCCCGGUAGUC